Parus major (Great Tit) is the source of this 515-nucleotide long non-coding RNA. The record is from Ensembl. NCBI's taxonomy places the organism in Eukaryota, Metazoa, Chordata, Aves, Passeriformes, Paridae.
AAGAAUGAAUAUACUCUGUGGAUAAAGCAUUCCAGCUUCUGUUUGUGCACUCUUCCUCUCCAGCUAAUGGCAUCUGUUCUGUGUGUGUGCCAGUUUAUCAUGUAGUGCUUGCCCAUAACAGCAGGAAAUUGAAAUUUGAAAUUUCUAUUUAAGAAAGCUGAAUAAAGAGAUUGCAUUCUUCCAGUUCAACCACUCUUGAAAAUAAACCCUCAGUAUAAGGAUGCCAGAAAGCACAAUAAAACCCACAGCCUCUUGCAGACUCAGAGCAGAUACUUUUGGCUGGAGUAGGAGCUAGGAUUUUUGCAGAAAAAGAGAGAAGGACCAGCAUGAAAGACCAGAAGAAAAAGAGAAAAAGGGUUGAGGAAACUACAGUGAAAGAGAUCUACUACAUGCAAUUUCUGGCAAUACAGCUUGGGGAUGACAUGGAUUAAUAGUUAUUACUAAAAAGCAGUGUGGUUUUCAAAUGAAACAUGGAACCUUCUGUGGUUAAGGUUUUUCUGUGCUUCCUAAAAAAA